Cavia porcellus (domestic guinea pig) is the source of this 946-nucleotide non-coding RNA. Lineage: Eukaryota; Metazoa; Chordata; Mammalia; Rodentia; Caviidae. The record is from the annotation of a RefSeq genome assembly.
GUCCAGCUUCUCAACAUGAGGCUCCCUGCUCAGCUCCUGGGGCUGCUGAUGCUCUGCCUGCCUGGAUCCACGGGAGAUGUUGUGAUGACCCAGACCGCACGCUCUCUGUCCAUCGCCCCUGGAGAGCCAGCCUCCAUCUCCUGCAGGGCCAGUCAGAGCCUCCUGCAUAGUAAUGGAAAAACUUACUUGAGUUGGCUUGUGCAGAAGCCAGGCCAGGCUCCUCGGCUCAUGAUUUAUCAGGUUUCCAAUCGGGAAUCCUGGGUCCCUGACAGGUUCAGUGGCAGUGGGUCAGGGACAGAUUUCACUCUCAAAAUCAGCAGGCUGGAGGCUGAAGACGCUGGAGUUUAUUACUGUUACCAAGGUACACAUGCUCCGUACACGUUCGGCGCAGGGACCAAGCUGGAAAUCAAACGGAGUGUGCAGAAGCCAACUAUCUCCCUCUUCCCUCCAUCAUCUGAGGAGGUGACAGCUGGAAGUGCCUCAGUUGUGUGCUUCAUUAAUAGCUUCUAUCCAAGAGACAUCACCGUCAAGUGGAAGGUGGAUGGCUCUGAACGCUCACAAGGCAUCCUGAACAGUUACACAGAUCAGGACAGCAAGGACAACACCUACAGCCUCAGUAGCACCCUGGCGCUGACGGCUUCAGAGUACAAUCAGCAUGAGAGGUACACCUGCGAGGUCUCCCACGCUGGCCUGACCUCACCCGCUGCCAAGACCAUCAACAGGAGCGAGUGCUAGAACCAGAGGUCCCACAGCAGCACCACUGCCUGCCCCUCAGGCCCACCCAGCCUGGAGCUUCCUCCUCAGAUCCCCAGCCCUUUUCCAGAGAGACCCACCCCUCACAGUCCUCCUCCAGCCUGCUCUCCACUCGCCCUCCCCUCCCCCUUGGCUUUAAUCAUGCUGAUUCUUGGGGGAAACAAUCAAUAAAGUGAAUCUUUGCACCUGAGAA